GGAAGAAGAGUGGGAGAUGGUGGAGGAGGGCUUUUAUAGUAAUAAGGAGGUGGUGGUGAUGGGGAAGGUGGGGGAGGGGAUUUGUAAUAGUAAGGAGGUGGCGGUGAUGGGGAUGGUGGGGGAGGGGAUUUGUAAUAGUAAGGAGGUGGGGGUGAUGGAGAUGGUGGUGGAGGUGAUUUAUAGUAAUAGGGAGGUGGUGGAGAUGGAGAGGGAGGUGGAGGAGAUUUAUAAUAGUAUGGAGGAGGAGGGGAUGGUGAAGGUGGGGGUGGUGAUUUAUAAUAGUAUGGUGGGGGAGGAGAGGGGGAUGGUGGAGGUGGAGAGUUGUAUUUGUAAACGGGAGUUGGAGGAGGAGGUGACUUAUAGUAGUAAGGAGUUGGAGAAGGUUUUUCACAUUCUUUAAAAUGCUUCUUUGAAGCAUAAGCAAAUGGCUUAGCCUUAAGCACAACUUCGUACUUGUCCUUAGAUUUCACCUUCAAGUUGGUUCCUUCAUUCAAUUUAGUAGGUAUGCUGAAGGGUGAGUCUUUAGGUGGAGCAAAAAGCUUGGCCUUGCACACUGUGGCUCCAUACUUGACGUAAUCGAAAUCCUUAACUGUGAUACUAUACUUUCCAUUGCUCUUAGUUUCACCAUAGGCCUUGAUCACUUUCCACCCUGCUUUGCAUUUCACCUCCACAACAGCACCUACAUGCCCCCCAAAAACGAUUCAUUACGAUACAUAAGUUAAAUUAUUCUUGUAAGCAAACGCACUAUAUAUUGGAUAAGAUACUAUGUUAAUUAUCUUUCUCUCAAUUCUUUUCUUUAUCAUAUUGUUGUUUAUUUAUUUCUGUUUAUGUAUAAUUUGUAAGAUAUUAAAGAUGUAAUAAUCAAUAUUCUCAUUUAACUUUAAAAUAACCAAAAAAAAGUGCUCGUAAGAUGUUGGAAAUAUAAAAGUUUUCUUAAUUAGUCUUAACUUUUAGCCAAUAAUAAAAUGAUAUAUCUAAACAAAAAGAUAAUGAAAUGAAUAUGAUGUACCUUUGAGGUGUUUCUUGUUAUGAGACUUCUCGAUGUGGUUCCAGUCAUAGCACUUGUAGCUGUAAACUUUACCUACUACCUUCACAGUCAAUGCGUGGUCGUAAUGAUGUGGGUAGGGGUGUGUGGGAUAUGCAGCUGGUGGAGGAGGAGAGUUAUAAUAGUAUGGAGGUGGUGGAGAGUUGUAGUAGUAAGGAGUGGGUGAAGGGGGAGGAGGAGACUUGUAGUAGUAAGGUGGAUGGGGUAAUGGAGAUGGAGGAGGAGGAGAUUUGUAGUAGUAGGGUGGUGGAGAAGGUGUUGGGGAUGGUGGUGGAGGGGAUUUGUAGUAGUAUGGGGUUGGAGAUGGAGAUUUUUCAGGUGGAGGUGGAGACUUGUAAUAGUAGGGUGGUGGAGGAGAUGGUGAAGGUGGUGGUGGGGAGUUGUAAUAGUAAGGGGGUGGAGGUGAGGGAGAGGGCGGUGGAGGAGACUUGUAAUAGUAGGGAGGUGGGGGUGACGAGGAAGGAGGAGGUGGUGACUUGUAAUAGUAGGGUGGAUCCUUGUGCUCAUAUGGUGGCGGAGGAGAUUUGUAAUAGUAUGGGGGAGGUGGUGAGGGGGAGGGUGGCGGAGGAGAUUUGUAAUAGUAUGGAGGAGGUGGUGAGGGGGAAGGUGGUGGAGGAGAUUUGUAGUAGUAUGGAGGAGGAGGUGAGGGGGAUGGUGGCGGAGGAUGUUUGUAAUAGUAUGGAGGAGGUGGUGAGGGAGAAGGUGGAGGAGGAGAUUUGUAAUAGUAUGGAGGAGGUGGUGAGGGGGAGGGUGGUGGAGGAGACUUGUAAUAGUAUGGAGGAGGAGGUGAGGGGGAGGGUGGUGGAGGAGACUUAUACUGAUAAGGAGGUGGUGGUGAAGGUGAUGGAGGAGGAGGUGAGUUGUACUGAUAAGGAGGUGGAGGUGAUGGUGAAGGUGGAGGUGGUGAGUUGUAUUCAUAAGGAGGAGGUGGUGAUGGAGAAGGGGAUGGUGGUGGUGGUGGAGAAAAGUAAGGGUAAGCAUCAGCAUUAACAGAAACCAGAGUAGUAGAAAUGAAAGCAAUGGCCAAUGCCAUG
Molecule: long non-coding RNA, 2079 nt
Filed under: Phaseolus vulgaris (common bean)
Lineage: Eukaryota; Viridiplantae; Streptophyta; Magnoliopsida; Fabales; Fabaceae
Description: long non-coding RNA (PVUL_LNC002062)
Source: RNAcentral